GACGAACGCUGGCGGCGUGCCUAACACAUGCAAGUCGAACGGAGGUACUUUUGAAGCUUGCGAUAAAGUAUCUUAGUGGCGGACGGGUGAGUAACGCGUGGGUAAUCUGCCCAUAAGUGGGGAACAACAGUUGGAAACGACUGCUAAUACCGCAUAAUCUGCCUUAGGGUAGGAAAGGUGGCCUCUUAACAAUGCUGCCGCUUAUGGAUGAGCCCGCGUCUGAUUAGCUAGUUGGUGGGGUAAAGGCCUACCAAGGCGACGAUCAGUAGCCGGCCUGAGAGGGUGAACGGCCACACUGGGACUGAGACACGGCCCAGACUCCUACGGGAGGCAGCAGUGGGGAAUAUUGCGCAAUGGGGGAAACCCUGACGCAGCGACGCCGCGUGAGCGAAGAAGGCCUUAGGGUUGUAAAGCUCUGUUUUAGGGGACGAAUGUCGUGGGGAGUAAUAUGACCUACGAAUGACGGUACCCUAAGAGGAAGCCCCGGCUAACUACGUGCCAGCAGCCGCGGUAAACUGU
This 519-nucleotide ribosomal RNA is filed under the name uncultured bacterium. Its description in RNAcentral is "bacterial SSU rRNA". It matches the Rfam family "Bacterial small subunit ribosomal RNA", at positions 28 to 528 of the family's 1533-position model. The record is from RNAcentral.